This 760-nucleotide long non-coding RNA is filed under the name Papio anubis (olive baboon). RNAcentral describes it as "lncRNA (ENSPANG00000036962.1)". The record is from RNAcentral. Lineage: Eukaryota; Metazoa; Chordata; Mammalia; Primates; Cercopithecidae.
GAGAAGAUAGCGUAAGUGACUGGAAGAGUUACAACCCGAAGUCUGAGGUAACAAAGCUGCGUUUCCAUUCACACCAUCAACAGUUAGUUAUGUAAAGGCAAUGUAGCAAUGGGGUUAAGUAUGCAGGCCCUGGAACCAGAUGACUUGCAAUCAUGCCCCAACUUUUCCACUUAACUGUGUGACUGUGGACGGAGUUUUACUCUUGCUGCCCAGGCUGGAGUGCAAUGGUAUGAUCCUGGCUCACCGCAACCUCCGCCUCCCAGGUUCAAGUGAUUCUCCUGCCUCAGCUUCCCAAGUAGCUGGGAUUACAGAUAAGAGAAAGGCCAGAUCCAACAAACAUUGACUGAGCCAUCACCAAAUGUGGGGCCCCGCGGCAGAGACUCGAAGGGUCGUUCUGCAUAAAAAAGUUGAUGACAGCAUAGCUUCGUUUAUACAGCUGGGACCCUCUGGAGUCUACAGAUGGAUUGUUAGAGAUGUGGCCUGCCAGCUGCCUUUGGAGAGUAGCCAAAUCUGCUGGGACCCAGCCACUUCAGGCACAGAUGUGCUUGCCUUUCCUGAAUGGAUGUCUUCCAGAAACGUUGGCUGUGAUGUCUGGUUUUUGUAUCUAUUGUUACUUCCAACGAAGACACAUAUACAAAAGACUCCUGGCUGCCUUUUAAAUGAAAACGUGCAGCAUAUUAGGAUCAAUCAUUUGUCUAAUGUUGUAGACCUGGGGUUUCACCAUGUUGGCCAGGCUCUUCUAGAACUCCUGACCUCAUGA